AUUGAACGCUGGCGGCAUGCUUUACACAUGCAAGUCGAACGGCAGCGCGGGCUUUGGCCUGGCGGCGAGUGGCGAACGGGUGAGUAAUACAUCGGAACGUGCCCAGCAGUGGGGGAUAGCUCGGCGAAAGCCGGAUUAAUACCGCAUACGACCUGAGGGUGAAAGCGGGGGAUCUUCGGACCUCGCGCUAUUGGAGCGGCCGAUGGCAGAGUAGCUAGUUGGUGGGGUAAAGGCCUACCAAGGCGACGAUCUGUAGCUGGUCUGAGAGGACGACCAGCCACACUGGAACUGAGACACGGCCCAGACUCCUACGGGAGGCAGCAGUGGGGAAUUUUGGACAAUGGGCGAAAGCCUGAUCCAGCAAUGCCGCGUGUGUGAUGAAGGCCUUCGGGUUGUAAAGCACUUUUGGCGGGAACGAAAAGGACUGUGCCAAUACCACGGUUCGAUGACGGUACCCGCAGAAUAAGCACCGGCUAACUACGUG
This 484-nucleotide ribosomal RNA is filed under the name uncultured bacterium. Its description in RNAcentral is "partial 16S ribosomal RNA". It matches the Rfam family "Bacterial small subunit ribosomal RNA", at positions 29 to 507 of the family's 1533-position model. The record is from RNAcentral.